ACGCAGAAUGAGGAACUUCACCUUGAUAACAGCUUUACUUCUCUGCAGCCUCAGCUGGAUCUCUGUCUCAGCUUCUGAGUCUCACACUGUGGAGGUCCAGUCUGGUGGAGACGUCACUCUGAUGUGCUCCAACAUUUCCAGAGUUAUAACUACAACAGAAUGGUUCAGAGUGAUCAACAGAACCAAGCCCAGCUGUGUCUCCUCUAUGUACGGGUCUGAUGGCAAACCUUCGUUCUGUGAUGGAUUUCAAAAUGGAUUUGAGAUGAGCUCCAACAUCUCUACUGUCUUUCUUAAAAUCAAGAGAGUGGAUUUAUCUGACUCUGGACUGUAUUUCUGUGGAUUUUACAUAGAAGGACAUACAGUCAUCGCUGGUGCAACACAUUUAAAAGUUCAAGCAUAA
Molecule: non-coding RNA, 400 nt
Organism: Perca fluviatilis (European perch)
Lineage: Eukaryota; Metazoa; Chordata; Actinopteri; Perciformes; Percidae
Source: the annotation of a RefSeq genome assembly